CCUAUCCACUGAUCAAGAGCUUGGACGUGGGAAACGACGGCGCAUUGUUCGGAGCUUCAGUAGCUCAGAUGAAGACGACAUCAGUCUGCUUCCCAAGCCACCCACACCACCACCUUGUGUGAAACUCUCAUCACACAAGAAGCCAAUCUCGUCACACAAGAAGCCAGGCUCGUCACGAAGUAGCAAAGAUCUACCACAAACUCACCAGAGAGCAUUCUGCCCGCCAUACAGCGACGACGAGGAUAUUGCUGAUGAACCUGAGGAG
Long non-coding RNA from Ornithodoros turicata, 265 nucleotides. RefSeq lists it as uncharacterized. NCBI's taxonomy places the organism in Eukaryota, Metazoa, Arthropoda, Arachnida, Ixodida, Argasidae. The transcript has 3 exons. The record is from RefSeq and is a predicted model, not a curated record.